This 1121-nucleotide long non-coding RNA is filed under the name Gadus morhua (Atlantic cod). RNAcentral describes it as "lncRNA (ENSGMOG00000031554.1)". The record is from RNAcentral. Lineage: Eukaryota; Metazoa; Chordata; Actinopteri; Gadiformes; Gadidae.
AUGGAUUGUUUGUUACUUUACAUCCACCAGACGCGAUGUCAAGCGAGUGGCAAUGUCUCCCAUCCACUUUCAACUGGACGCGAUGUCGUGUGGACUCCAUUGUCGACUAGGUUUUCCAGGGAACCGAUUCAGAAGACAAGCAGGCCUAAGGCGUCCAGAUGGGUGUCCUUGUUGCCGUGCUUGAGGAUGAUGACGCACCUAAUGCACAGCCCACUGUCUUCAACAUUGCUGUCGCGUUGGAGUGAGUCCAUUGUCCUCACAGAUCUUCGCACACGCGCACAUACAAUCAACAGAAAAACGGGUUAUGUUAAGCCCUACAGUAAAUGGAUCUGUCUGCCCGCAUUAUUUUAUUUAUUUAGUUUAUUACAUAUAAGGACAGCCGUUUUGUCAGUAAACAGAUACGGAAAUUUGUGGACUUCAUUUUUAGUUUGUAGUGUUUCCCCCUGCUCUCUGAGACGUGUGUCCUUUUUUGGUUGACACACACACACACACACACACACACACACACACACACACACACACACACACACACACACACACACACACACACACACACACACACACACACACACACACACACACACACACACACACACACACACAGCGCAGAUAAACAGGAAGCUUAUUUGUGGCCAGUUGUGUUAAGCCGUACAAUAAAGUGAUCUGUCUGUCCGCAUUAUUUUAAGUAGCAUAGACAUUUUGUCGGUAAACAGUUACUGAAAUUUAUUUGAAUUUUUUGCUUUGGAUGUUGCGGAAAGGGCUGUUUGUAAUGUUAACGUUUAAACUUUUCAUUUAUUUUAAACUUGCAAAAUGGUUUAAAAUGCAAAAGCUGGUUUAUUGUCCGUUUGUGUAAUUGUUAAUAGGAUUUACUUUGUAAGACAAACUCAAAAUGGACGUUUUUACACACUAAUGAUUCAACAUCAUAUUGACUUAGGAUUCUUAGUCUGUGCAACUAGAUUUGUGAAGCUUUAGGUUUCUUUUAUUUAGGGAGGGGGAGAGGAGAGGGAGGCAGGGGGAAAGGGAGACGAGGAGUUGAAGAGGGAGGCAGGGGGAGAGGAGGAGAGGGAGACGGGGGGAGCGAAGAGAGGGAGAAGGAGACAAGAAACAACUUGCCUCAACUU